RNAcentral lists this non-coding RNA (26 nucleotides) under Homo sapiens (human). Lineage: Eukaryota; Metazoa; Chordata; Mammalia; Primates; Hominidae. The record is from RNAcentral.
UCCUCCUGUGUGUGGUCCAUGGCUGA